CAAAUCCUUUGCUUUACUUCUCCCUGGGGACAUGGAAAUGGAGAGAGGAAGAGGCAGAGUCAAUUUUGAGUCCUAAGAUAAUUUCAAACCAUGUUUUAUUACCUAAUAAAAUUAUACAAAACUGAGAACUGUUGCUAAUGACCAAACUUCAAAGACCCAACUGAAUUAAAACCAGGAAUAAUUCUGUAUCGCAUGAUCAGCAAUCACCAUAUCACCAAUAAAACAAGUAAGUUUGAAACCUCUAAGAUAACCAGAGACUCCAAGAUAGACAAGGGUGAAAAUUUGACUAUCACUGAGGAUAGCACUCACAAAUCACAGUCCUCCUUUAUUCACCAAAGACAGGUAAAAUCCAUAUUUACAUAAAGCAACCUCAUAGAUGGCCCAGAUCCUUACCUUCAAACAGGAUUUUGUCAAACAGUCAGCAACAAAUCUUCCACACAAUUUUAUAAAUAUCCUAAUUGUUAUUUUUUGAGCUAUGCAUUGGUAGUCAUAUGGGCAUACUCCCUUUUCUUUUCAUCCCCAGCCUUCAAUUUUUUUCUGGGCUCUGUUUAUGCUUAAUAGUCAAAACAUUGCCAAUAAUGUCUCCAUCAUAAAGAUACUUACAACCAGAUAGGGCCUAGUGUAAUAUGAAGCUAAUAUUUUUCCAAGAAAUCAACAGGUUUUUCUUUAUUUUUUAAGUGAUGAAGAGUCAAAACACGAUAUUUUUGGUACAUCCGCAAUGCCAAAAUAGUCCAAAAUCAGGCAUGUUCACAAUGAUAUCAGUGCUACAACCAAUAGCACAAAUCAACAAUUCAAGCAAUGACAUGGCUCAAAAGAUAAAACUAGCAUAACUACAGUAAAACCAUAGGCAGUUGAAAAUCUAUAUAAUAAUAAGGGAAGACGGCAGGGAGAAUCAACAGAUAAAAGCAGAGUCCAACCUAUUCUAGGCAGUGCUGAUUCAGGUUGAUGAAUAACAACAAUGAAGGGACCAACUCAGCGACCAAGCAAAUAAUAAAUGGCUGAUGUAAGGAUUUGGUUUUGGCAAAAUGUCUUUUUCUUUCCACACAUAGUACAAAUCUAAAGUUCCUUCUUCUUGUAAGCAUGUUCAUCAGUUUGGUGAGCUCUACAACUCUAAAUAUGUUCUCAAAGCUUGGCGCUUGGUCCAUUGCAUGUCACAUUCUUCGAUGGGGAUGCACAUGCUCCUGUUAGCACAAAUGUAUACACUUCUUUCCCAAACCAAACAAUACUGUUUUGAAUGAAAACCAAGCCAAAUUAAAUUUUAAAAUUUAGGGGGGUUUUGUUUCUAAAUUAAUACAAAACCAAACAUUAUAAAUGUAUUUUACAAAAAUAAAUAAAGAUAUUAAAUAUUUCAAAGAGAUGAAAUUACAAUUGAAAUAGAUGGGUCCUGCUCUGAUCAAGUUUCAAACAAAAGCCAUAGCCAAAUAAAUGAUGUGGGUAAUAUAUAAAAAUAAAAUAUAUCACUGAUUAAACAAUUAUUCAAUUACAAAGCCAUAAUCAAACAUCUGUUUUCAAACCAAAACUUAUAAAAAAUAAUUAGAAACCAUAAAAAUUAAGUCUUUAAAAUAACAUAAUUGCCAAACAGCAAGGCCUUUGAACCUCACCUCCAAACAAAACGACAUAACACCUAUUCCGACCUGUUUGCGAACCUUUCCACCUUCUUGUCGUUUAAAUUGAUACCCACCAUAGCCUCACCGAGACCGCAACUCACCUCCGCGAGCAUGUCGGGAUCGCUAUAAUGCGUCACCGCCUGCACAAUUGCUCGGGCCCUCCUGGCGGGGUCCCCGCUCUUGAACACCCCAGACCCCACAAACACCCCAUCGCAACCCAACUGCAUCAUCAACGCUGCGUCCGCCGGCGUCGCGACCCCUCCCGCCGCGAACUGCACCACAGGUAGCCUCCCUAGCUGCUUCGUCUGCAUAACCAAAUCGUACGGCGCAGCAAUCUUCUUGGCAAAACUGAACACCUCGUCGUCGUCCAUGUUCCUCAAAACCCUAACAUCACCCAUCACAGACCUCACGUGCCUAACC
This 2027-nucleotide unclassified non-coding RNA is filed under the name Hevea brasiliensis (rubber tree). The record is from RNAcentral. Lineage: Eukaryota; Viridiplantae; Streptophyta; Magnoliopsida; Malpighiales; Euphorbiaceae.